This 388-nucleotide ribosomal RNA is filed under the name uncultured Erysipelothrix sp. RNAcentral describes it as "bacterial SSU rRNA". It matches the Rfam family "Bacterial small subunit ribosomal RNA", at positions 987 to 1382 of the family's 1533-position model. The record is from RNAcentral. Lineage: Bacteria; Bacillati; Bacillota; Erysipelotrichia; Erysipelotrichales; Erysipelotrichaceae.
UACUCGGCAAAGCUCUAGAGAUAGAGUGGAGGUUAUCCGGGAUACAGGUGGUGCAUGGUUGUCGUCAGCUCGUGUCGUGAGAUGUUGGGUUAAGUCCCGCAACGGCGCAACCCUUGUCUUUAGUUACCAUCAUUCAGUUGGGGACUCUAGAGAGACUGCCGGUGAUAAACCGGAGGAAGGUGGGAUGACGUCAAAUCAUCAUGCCCCUUAUGGCCUGGGCUACAAACGUAAUACAAUGGCGUAUACAAAGGGAUGCGAAAGGGCGACCUGGAGCAAAACUCACAAAGUACGUCUCAGUUCAGAUUGGAGUCUGCAACUCGACUCCAUGAAGGCGGAAUCGCUAGUAAUCGCGGAUCAGCAUGCCGCGGUGAAUACGUUCUCGGGGUUU